Molecule: ribosomal RNA, 313 nt
Filed under: Staphylococcus aureus
Lineage: Bacteria; Bacillati; Bacillota; Bacilli; Caryophanales; Staphylococcaceae
Description: partial 23S ribosomal RNA
Rfam family: Bacterial large subunit ribosomal RNA
Source: RNAcentral
AGAUUAAGUUAUUAAGGGCGCACGGUGGAUGCCUUGGCACUAGAAGCCGAUGAAGGACGUUACUAACAACGAUAUGCUUUGGGGAGCUGUAAGUAAGCUUUGAUCCAGAGAUUUCCGAAUGGGGAAACCCAGCAUGAGUUAUGUCAUGUUAUCGAUAUGUGAAUACAUAGCAUAUCAGAAGGCACACCCGGAGAACUGAAACAUCUUAGUACCCGGAGGAAGAGAAAGAAAAUUCGAUUCCCUUAGUAGCGGCGAGCGAAACGGGAAGAGCCCAAACCAACAAGCUUGCUUGUUGGGGUUGUAGGACACUCUA